Long non-coding RNA from Thunnus maccoyii (southern bluefin tuna), 1949 nucleotides. RefSeq lists it as uncharacterized. NCBI's taxonomy places the organism in Eukaryota, Metazoa, Chordata, Actinopteri, Scombriformes, Scombridae. The record is from RefSeq and is a predicted model, not a curated record. The transcript is spliced from 4 exons.
UACAGUAUUUGCUGCUAUCUGACUGGUCAUCAUGUUCUGGUGUAAAAAUCUUGUUUUGUUUCUACAGCUCUCUCUCUGAUAAAACGCACAGACGUCAACGAGACUGUUUGUGUGUCCUAUCAGCAAGUCUUUUUGGAGGACCUGUGAGUAUAACGCUGUCCUGUCCUUGAGCUGCACACUCCCUCACUCUCUCCAUCUGUUUUGACUCCCGCUCUCAUAAACUCUCACAUAUUCUUUUGCUCCUUCUUACCACAGUGUCUGACUCUCUUACUCUCAGCUUUUUUACACACUCAAACACAUACAUGUGUACACACAUAAACACAAACACACAGCAACAGACCAGGCUUUGUCCGUGUUACCUGAGCUGAACUCCCACAUUGGGAGCAACAGAAAUGACUGGGCUGAAUGGGCCUCAUUGUCACGCUGACUGGCAUUUGCCCCUCGGAUUGAUUAGCAUGGAUCAGAGGAGCCACGGACCCCAGUAAGCCAAACUUCUGUCGCUGUUGAUGCUGGGUUUUUUUUUUUUCAAAGUAGUGUCUAGAGUUACAAUUACAAAGGUUUACUGUUGGUACAGCGGUGGAUCUGAUGUCAGGAGUGAUGAGAGAUUUCUAAAAUCAUCAGAAAAACUUUUGCAUAAACAGAGUGGACCCGCAUGCAGCUGCUGCUGCUGGACAAGGCUCAUUUUCUAUGAAGUCAGAGGAAAAAGUUUGAUCACAAACGGAGUAAAACUGAAUUUUAAUGAAAAAAAUUGAAAUUUGGUCAAUUUUGAUUGCUUUACUGCAUAUACUUUCUAGGCAUUUAGCCAAUGCUCCCUAACCAGUGUGACUUAAAGGGUCAGUUCACCCAAAUUAUAAAAACAUGCAGAUAGGCUUGGUUUUAUUUUGUCCAGGUUUUAAGAUGUCCACUUCUGAGAUCCCUGUAUCCACCCUGACACAAUGGAGUGUGUAGGCCUUGAAAUGGAGCCAAGCCAGUCUGGUCCAGGUGGGGACAGAGCUGACUUGAGGAUCGGGGCGAGGAAAAGCACUGGGGGUUCUAUGACGAAGGGGUUUGCGUGCAACGAAGGAUCAGUGUCUCCAGUAACAUAUGAAGACCAGCUGAGACAAACCUCAAAUGACCUCAAACAGCAUGCCUCCGUAUGAUGGUGACCCUUCCCUCUAAGUGGACAAGUGGACCCAAACCAUGGCAGCAAAAUGCCCCCUACAGCAUAAUAGAGCCACCAGAUCCCCUCACUGUAGGGGUCAAGCAUUCAGAGACGCUUCUGCUCAGUAAGCCCCUUGAAGAAGAGGACUGUUUGCACUUGACACCAGAUGUGAAUGGAUUGUUUUCCUGCGUUUGAAUGACAUCAUCACUUACAUCGUGGGAUAACUGAGGAUGACAUAAUUGGCUGGAACCAUGGACGACUGCAGACAGACCGACAAACAGUCCAAAAUUUGGUUUACUUUCACAAGGGUGAGAAAAAUGGAAGUCUACUGAAAGAAAAAGUGUAGUGAAAAUGUAUUUUUUGCAGGUAGGUAGCUAACAAAUCAAACACAAUGAAGUGUAAAAUAAGGCGGCUCAAAUACCCCAAAAUCACAACUACUUUUAUCAGGAAUCUGAUUAAUUUAGUAAUCAUAAUGUUCAUUCAUAAGUUUUGGUGCAGACUUCUAGUUUUAUGUGGUGCCCAUACUUAAACAACAACAGUUUUUCUCUGACAAAAAGCUUAACUCGUUGGCUUGCAGCGCAGGUACAAACAAAGGCAGGAAGUUGAAUGUAAUCAAUAACUGUUCCAAGAUCUGGUUUAUAUAAAAGUCUUGACCUGAACUGAUACUUGUGGUCUUUGGGUUUCUUGUUGGCCUUGAGCUCAGUCGACGAAUCUCAUUAAGAGGACACAGAGAAACUGUUGGAAGGUCUGUUUACAAGCUGGAAAACGUAUGGACCUGCCAUUUCAGGUCCAAGACAAUUUUGGAAAA